Molecule: ribosomal RNA, 1373 nt
Filed under: uncultured bacterium
Lineage: Bacteria
Description: bacterial SSU rRNA
Rfam family: Bacterial small subunit ribosomal RNA
Source: RNAcentral
GAUGAACGCUGGCGGCGUGCCCAAUACAUGCAAGUCGAGCGAACGGACGAGAAGCUUGCUUCUCUGAUGUUAGCGNGCGGACGGGUGAGUAACACGUGGAUAACCUACCUAUAAGACUGGGAUAACUUCGGGAAACCGGAGCUAAUACCGGAUAAUAUUUUGAACCGCAUGGUUCAAAAGUGAAAGACGGUCUUGCUGUCACUUAUAGAUGGAUCCGCGCUGCAUUAGCUAGUUGGUAAGGUAACGGCUUACCAAGGCAACGAUGCAUAGCCGACCUGAGAGGGUGAUCGGCCACACUGGAACUGAGACACGGUCCAGACUCCUACGGGAGGCAGCAGUAGGGAAUCUUCCGCAAUGGGCGAAAGCCUGACGGAGCAACGCCGCGUGAGUGAUGAAGGUCUUCGGAUCGUAAAACUCUGUUAUUAGGGAAGAACAUAUGUGUAAGUAACUGUGCACAUCUUGACGGUACCUAAUCAGAAAGCCACGGCUAACUACGUGCCAGCAGCCGCGGUAAUACGUAGGUGGCAAGCGUUAUCCGGAAUUAUUGGGCGUAAAGCGCGCGUAGGCGGUUUUUUAAGUCUGAUGUGAAAGCCCACGGCUCAACCGUGGAGGGUCAUUGGAAACUGGAAAACUUGAGUGCAGAAGAGGAAAGUGGAAUUCCAUGUGUAGCGGUGAAAUGCGCAGAGAUAUGGAGGAACACCAGUGGCGAAGGCGACUUUCUGGUCUGUAACUGACGCUGAUGUGCGAAAGCGUGGGGAUCAAACAGGAUUAGAUACCCUGGUAGUCCACGCCGUAAACGAUGAGUGCUAAGUGUUAGGGGGUUUCCGCCCCUUAGUGCUGCAGCUAACGCAUUAAGCACUCCGCCUGGGGAGUACGACCGCAAGGUUGAAACUCAAAGGAAUUGACGGGGACCCGCACAAGCGGUGGAGCAUGUGGUUUAAUUCGAAGCAACGCGAAGAACCUUACCAAAUCUUGACAUCCUUUGACAACUCUAGAGAUAGAGCCUUCCCCUUCGGGGGACAAAGUGACAGGUGGUGCAUGGUUGUCGUCAGCUCGUGUCGUGAGAUGUUGGGUUAAGUCCCGCAACGAGCGCAACCCUUAAGCUUAGUUGCCAUCAUUAAGUUGGGCACUCUAAGUUGACUGCCGGUGACAAACCGGAGGAAGGUGGGGAUGACGUCAAAUCAUCAUGCCCCUUAUGAUUUGGGCUACACACGUGCUACAAUGGACAAUACAAAGGGCAGCGAAACCGCGAGGUCAAGCAAAUCCCAUAAAGUUGUUCUCAGUUCGGAUUGUAGUCUGCAACUCGACUACAUGAAGCUGGAAUCGCUAGUAAUCGUAGAUCAGCAUGCUACGGUGAAUACGUUCCCGGGUCU